CUUCAAUUUGAUCAACCCUUUUAUUUUUAAUUUCACUUUUUUUUGUAUCAAUUGGAUUAAUUUUUAAUUCUGAUUGAUUUGAUUUUCUCUCAUUUCUAAUUGUUGACACAUCCUGGUGGUGUUUAGUCACCAAGUGGAUGGACUAAUUGUCGAAACAAUUAAUUUUAUGCUCCAGAAAAUAUAACAAACUCUUUGGGUACAAAUCAUCAACAAUUUAACGUUUUAAAUUUACCUUUUCUUUUACAUCUCUUGUUAACAUGGAGGAGAUUCACUUACUUGUUGCUUUCUAAUGAAGAGAUUACAAUAAGCGUUUAAUUGAGUUACUCUUUGGGUUAAAUUGUCUUCUUCUCAAGAUUAAUACAGUUGAUCAACAAAAUUAUCAUUAUUUUGCUAUUUCUAUUGUAAAACUCAUUCAAGAUGGACAUCACCGGACAGAGCGUUUAUCAUUAUAAUGGUGAUGAUACAAUCUAAUGAAUAACUUAAUUAAGAAAGGACAAGAUUAAGAUGGUUGACCUUUGAUAUGAACACACAAAGAUGACCAUUAGCGAUUAGAUGAUAUAAUCUGACAAUGAUGAAGAUCAAAUUAAUGACCAAGAGCUUGAUGAUAUUAAUAUAAAGUGAAACAAUAUUGCCAACUGAUGAUAACAAUUAACAUUAUGAUUAUGAACUUCCUCUCAUUUGAUCUUAA
This is a long non-coding RNA of Panonychus citri (citrus red mite), 688 nucleotides long. RefSeq lists it as uncharacterized. The transcript is spliced from 3 exons. The record is from RefSeq and is a predicted model, not a curated record. Lineage: Eukaryota; Metazoa; Arthropoda; Arachnida; Trombidiformes; Tetranychidae.